GCACUUCACUCGCAAUCCUGCUUCUCCACCUUCCCGGAGCCCCCGGCCAUAACACCCCGAAGGGCUUCUGGUCCUUUCAGACCCAGGUAACCCCCGCUGGAACCAGGCUCAGCCGGCAGGAAUCAGGAUCGACGGUCAGGGGCGCGACCCGGGAGGCAUUAUCCUUUUUGUCAAAACUUUCAUAAAUCCUCGUCCUGUUCUACCUGCUAUACAAAAUGUUCUCUCACUUGCCUCGUCAACCAUACCCAGGAAUUGACAACCAUACCGUGCACCUCAAACACCUCGCUUCCCCCUGCAACUUUUUGCCCUCCCCCGGGGAUCUUCAUCCUCUGCGGAACGACGGCCUAUACAUGUGUCCCCGAGAACCUUGAACAAGCCCCCUGUCUCUAUGUCUUCCUGACACCAAAUCUCUCUGUUAGAACUGAAGGCGAGCUGGAAUCAUCUCUCGCCCCGGUCUUCCCUCAUUCCAGGCGGGAGAGAGCAGCUCUUGUUCCCCUUCUUGUGGGGACAGGGGUCCUAACAGUCGUGGGAACCGGGGUCGGAGGGAUUUCUUCCUCAGUACACUUCUAUCACAAGCUCUCCACAGAAUUCUCUGAAGAUAUGGCUCUCAUAAGUGACUCCAUUGAAUCCUUACAAAGGCAGAUAGACUCGCUGGCAGCUGUGGCUCUGCAGAACCGCAGGGCCCUUGAUCUCCUCACCGCUGAGAAGGGAGGUACAUGUAUUUUCCUCGGGGAAGAAUGCUGUUAUUUUGUCAAUGAAUCAGGAAUAAUAAAAGACCAUAUAAAAACACUAAGGGACAGAAUAAGUCAGAGGCAGAGGGAGGCGACUGGGGGGAUGGCAUUCUUCGGCUCCCUAGCUCCCUGGCUCCUCCCUCUCCUGGGGCCACUAACAUCCCUACUCCUAAUCCUCCUCUUUGGCCCAUGUCUCAUAAAAUGUCUUACUAGCUUCCUCC
Molecule: long non-coding RNA, 952 nt
Organism: Myotis brandtii (Brandt's bat)
Lineage: Eukaryota; Metazoa; Chordata; Mammalia; Chiroptera; Vespertilionidae
Exons: 2
Source: RefSeq, a predicted model, not a curated record